UACGUAGGUGGCAAGCGUCGUCCGGAAUUAUUGGGCGUAAAGAGCAUGUAGGCGGGUAUUUAAGUCAGAUGUGAAAACUUGGGGCUCAACCUCAUAGACUGCAUUUGAAACUGGAUACCUUGAGGGUAAGAGAGGGCAGUGGAAUUCCUAGUGUAGCGGUGAAAUGCGUAGAUAUUAGGAGGAACACCAGUGGCGAAGGCGACUGCCUGGCUUACAACUGACGCUGAGAUGCGAAAGCGUGGGGAGCAAACAGG
This 254-nucleotide ribosomal RNA is filed under the name uncultured bacterium. RNAcentral's name for it is "partial 16S ribosomal RNA". It matches the Rfam family "Bacterial small subunit ribosomal RNA", at positions 524 to 776 of the family's 1533-position model. The record is from RNAcentral.